GAUGAACGCUGGCGGCGUGCCUAAUACAUGCAAGUCGAGCGAACAGAUGAGAAGCUUGCUUCUCUGAUGUUAGCGGCGGACGGGUGAGUAACACGUGGGUAACCUACCUAUAAGACUGGGAUAACUCCGGGAAACCGGGGCUAAUACCGGAUAAUAUUUUGAACCGCAUGGUUCAAUAGUGAAAGACGGUUUCGGCUGUCACUUAUAGAUGGACCCGCGCCGUAAUAGCUAGUCGGUAAGGUAACGGCUUACCAAGGCGACGAUACGUAGCCUACCUGGGAGGGUGAUCAGCCACACUGGAACUGAGACACGGUCCAGACUCCUACGGGAGGCAGCAGUAGGGAAUCUUCCGCAAUGGGCGAAAGCCUGACGGAGCAACGCCGCGUGAGUGAUGAAGGUCUUCGGAUCGUAAAACUCUGUUGUUAGGGAAGAACAAAUUUGUUAGUAACUGAACAAGUCUUGACGGUACCUAACCAGAAAGCCACGGCUAACUACGUGCCAGCCGCCGCAGUAA
Molecule: ribosomal RNA, 514 nt
Filed under: uncultured bacterium
Lineage: Bacteria
Description: partial 16S ribosomal RNA
Rfam family: Bacterial small subunit ribosomal RNA
Source: RNAcentral